This 107-nucleotide small nucleolar RNA is filed under the name Brassica carinata (Ethiopian mustard). Its description in RNAcentral is "Plant small nucleolar RNA R71". It matches the Rfam family "Plant small nucleolar RNA R71". Rfam says of the family: R71 is a member of the C/D box family of snoRNAs containing the C (UGAUGA) and D (CUGA) box motifs. RNAcentral also lists the same sequence under 1 other name. The record is from Rfam by way of RNAcentral. Lineage: Eukaryota; Viridiplantae; Streptophyta; Magnoliopsida; Brassicales; Brassicaceae.
AAGCCAUGAUGUGGGCAUUGAGACCAAUAGCCCUUGAACCUCUCCCAUGCUUCACUAAAUCCCUCUAGGUUCUUCUGCUGAAAGGUAGAGAUCUCAUUCCUGAUCUU